RNAcentral lists this ribosomal RNA (433 nucleotides) under uncultured bacterium. Its description in RNAcentral is "partial 16S ribosomal RNA". It matches the Rfam family "Bacterial small subunit ribosomal RNA", at positions 29 to 507 of the family's 1533-position model. The record is from RNAcentral.
AACGAACGCUGGCGGCAUGCCUAACACAUGCAAGUCGAACGAGACCUUCGGGUCUAGUGGCGCACGGGUGCGUAACGCGUGGGAACCUGCCCUUAGGUUCGGAAUCACUCCCCGAAAGGGGUGUUAAUACCGGAUAAUGUCUUCGGACCAAAGAUUUAUCGCCUUUGGGUGGGCGCGGGUUGGAUUAGCUAGUUGGUAGUGUAAAAGCCUACCAAGGUGAUGAUCCAUAGCUGGUCUGAGAGGAUGAUCAGCCACACUGGGACUGAGACACGGCCCAGACUCCUACGGGAGGGAGCAGUAGGGAAUAUUGGGCAAUGGGCGAAAGCCUGAUCCAGCAAUGCCGCGUGAGUGAUGAAGGCCUUAGGGUUGUAAAGCUCUUUUACCCGGGAUGAUAAUGACAGUACCGGGAGAAUAAGCUCCGGCUAACUCCGUG